GAUGAAGAACGUAGCGAAAUGCGAUACGUAGUGUGAAUUGCAGAAUUCAGUGAAUCAUCGAAUCUUUGAACGCACAUUGCACCUCUCGGUAUUCCGGGAGGUAUGCCUGUUCGAGCGUCAUUUGUACACUCAAGCUCUGCUUGGUGUUGGGUGUUUGUUCCGCCUCUGUGUGUGAACUCGCCUCAAAACAAUUGGCAGCCGGCGUACUUGUUUCGGAGCGCAGCACAUUUUGCGAUCCAGAUCAACGUACAGCGGCAUCCAAGAAGCCUUAUUUAACGCUCUUGACCUCGGAUCAGGUAGGGAUACCCGCUGAACUUAAGCAUAUCAAUAAGCGGAGGA
Molecule: unclassified non-coding RNA, 339 nt
Filed under: soil metagenome
Description: partial contains 5.8S ribosomal RNA, internal transcribed spacer 2, and large subunit ribosomal RNA
Rfam family: 5.8S ribosomal RNA (bases 1-120)
Source: RNAcentral